CCUAAUUCUACUAGCAGCCUCCCCACUGUCUGUCUCUUCCCCUUUCCAUUCUUGACAAAGCUCCAUCAAUUCUUUUCUCCAGACACAAAAUGGUUACUCCAUUUUAGUGCAAAUCCUUUCUUUAAACGUCUCAAUCCUCAGAAGACACAUUAAAAUCUUCAAGGACCAGAGAAGAUCUGGCCAUUUUGAGUAAAAUCUUAAUCAAGCCACGUGAAGAAACCUCAACGUUUGGAUUAACACGAGUUUUGACUCGAUUUUGAAUCUUUGAUUCCAAGAUCCCGCCCAAAUCUUGAACCUAUCAAACCCUAAUCCUAUUCUAUAAAUACCAACGUUUUGAGACCAUUUUGGCAGGGUUGAGCAGCAACUACAUCUCACUCUAAACGAAGAACAGCCAUUACAUAGCCCUAAAAAAACAAAGGAAAAACAGCCACACAUUACUUUAAACUACUCUAUUUUACCUUUCUGUUCGAGAUUUUUGGUUGCUUUGGAGGUGUGCAAGCUCGACGACCUUUGAGCGUAGACCCUUAGAUUGGGGACCGAAGAACCCUAGUUUGCUGCACUCAAAAAAGAGCACUCCUGAGUCUUGCGUCGAGACUCGAUAUCAUCGCUAGACCUGAGACUUGCAUUCGCAUCUUCAGUAGCACCUCUCACCCUCUCAAAAUGCACCCGAACAGAAUACAAAGGAGGGGGAAUAAGCAAUGGAUAUUCCCUCCUAUUGUGUCGAUCGAAGUCUUUGCUUUACAUCAUUCUUUCCAUUUCUCUGGGCUCGCUAAUAUGUUUUAUUUCCUUGCAUAGACCCAUUUAAAUUAAGAGUACUUCAGGUAGUUUAUCUUACGGGGUAGUUUAGAGGUUGCAGAUUUUAGAGCCCGAGAUAUUUUUUUUGAAGUAACAUAUUAAAAGCUCAUCAAUUCAGCCUA
This is a long non-coding RNA of Lycium barbarum (goji berry), 917 nucleotides long. RefSeq lists it as uncharacterized. Lineage: Eukaryota; Viridiplantae; Streptophyta; Magnoliopsida; Solanales; Solanaceae. The transcript is spliced from 2 exons. The record is from RefSeq and is a predicted model, not a curated record.